UACAGAGGGUGCAAGCGUUGUUCGGAAUUAUCGGGCGUAAAGCGCGUGUAGGCGGCUUUGCAAGUCGGGUGUGAAAGCCCUCAGCUUAACUGAGGAAGUGCGCCCGAAACUGCAGAGCUUGAAUACCGGAGAGGAUGGCGGAAUUCCCCAAGUAGAGGUGAAAUUCGUAGAUAUGGGGAGGAACACCGGUGGCGAAGGCGGCAUCCUGGACCGGUAUUGACGCUGAGGCGCGAAAGCCAGGGGAGCAAACGGG
This 253-nucleotide ribosomal RNA is filed under the name uncultured bacterium. RNAcentral's name for it is "partial 16S ribosomal RNA". It matches the Rfam family "Bacterial small subunit ribosomal RNA", at positions 524 to 776 of the family's 1533-position model. The record is from RNAcentral.